UGAAUACGAGAUGCUACGGCGUCGAAGCAGUCUAUGUCAUACUUCCAAGAAAAGCUCGCACUGUCAUAAACAAAUAAUGCCUGUACCAUAACCGACACAGGUGGGUAGGUAGAGUAUACUAAGGGGCGCGAGAUAACUCUCUCUAAGGAACUCGGCAAAAUGACUCCGUAACUUCGGGAGAAGGAGUGCCUUAUUUAUAAGGUUGCAAUAACAAGAUCCAAGCAACUGUUUAUCAAAAACACAGGUCUCCGCCAAGUCGUAAGACGAUGUAUGGGGGCUGACGCCUGCCCAGUGCCAGAAGGUUAAAGAAGUUGGUUAGCAUUCGCCAAGCUGAUAACUGAAGCCCUGGUGAACGGCGGCCGUAACUAUAACGGUCCUAAGGUAGCGAAAUUCCUUGUCGGGUAAGUUCCGACCCGCACGAAAGGCGUAAUGAUUUGGAUACUGUCUCGGAGAGGGGCUCGGUGAAAUAGACUUGUCUGUGAAGAUGCGGACUACCUGCACCAGGACAGAAAGACCCUAUGAAGCUUUACUGUAACUUGAGAUUGAAAUUGGACUUUACUUGCGCAGUAUAGGUGGGAGGCGUUGAUAAUAUUCUUGCGGGAUUAUUUGAGCCAUCAGUGAGAUACCACUCUUGUAAUGUUAGAUUUCUAACUUUGUAUCAUUAUCUGGUCAAAGGACAGUUUCAGGCGGGCAGUUUGACUGGGGCGGUCGCCUCCUAAACGGUAACGGAGGCGCACAAAGGUUUCCUCUGAACGGGUAGAAAUCGUAUCUAGAGUGUAAAGGCAUAAGGAAGCUUGACUGUGAGACCUACAAGUCGAGCAGGGACGAAAGUCGGUCUUAGUGAUCUGACGGUGCUGAGUGGAAAGGCCGUCACUCAACGGAUAAAAGUUACUCUAGGAUAACAGGCUGAUCUCCCCCAAGAGUUCACAUCGACGGGGAGGUUUGGCACCUCGAUGUCGGCUCAUCGCAUCCUGGGGCGGUAGUACGUCCCAAGGGUUGGGCUGUUCGCCCAUGAAAGCGGUACGCGAGCUGGGUUCAGAACGUCGUGAGACAGUACGGUCCAUAUCCGGUGUAGGCGUUAGAAUAUUGAGAGGAGCCUUCUUUAGUACGAGAGGACCGAGAAGGACAUACCUCUGGUGUACCAGUUAUCGUGCCAACGGUAAACGCUGGGUAGCUAUGUAUGGAGUGGAUAACCGCUGAAAGCAUCUAAGUGGGAAGCCCACCUCAAGAUAAG
RNAcentral lists this ribosomal RNA (1234 nucleotides) under metagenome. RNAcentral's name for it is "bacterial LSU rRNA". It matches the Rfam family "Bacterial large subunit ribosomal RNA", at positions 1564 to 2808 of the family's 2925-position model. The record is from RNAcentral.